This 472-nucleotide ribosomal RNA is filed under the name Streptococcus sp. oral taxon 064. RNAcentral's name for it is "bacterial SSU rRNA". It matches the Rfam family "Bacterial small subunit ribosomal RNA", at positions 28 to 487 of the family's 1533-position model. The record is from RNAcentral. Lineage: Bacteria; Bacillati; Bacillota; Bacilli; Lactobacillales; Streptococcaceae.
GACGAACGCGGCGGCGUGCCUAAUACAUGCAAGUAGAACGCUGAAGGAGGAGCUUGCUCUUCUGGAUGAGUUGCGAACGGGUGAGUAACGCGUAGGUAACCUGCCUGGUAGCGGGGGAUAACUAUUGGAAACGAUAGCUAAUACCGCAUAACAGUAGAUGUUGCAUGACAUUUGCUUAAAAGGUGCAAUUGCAUCACUACCAGAUGGACCUGCGUUGUAUUAGCUAGUUGGUGGGGUAACGGCUCACCAAGGCGACGAUACAUAGCCGACCUGAGAGGGUGAUCGGCCACACUGGGACUGAGACACGGCCCAGACUCCUACGGGAGGCAGCAGUAGGGAAUCUUCGGCAAUGGACGGAAGUCUGACCGAGCAACGCCGCGUGAGUGAAGAAGGUUUUCGGAUCGUAAAGCUCUGUUGUAAGAGAAGAACGAGUGUGAGAGUGGAAAGUUCACACUGUGACGUAUCUACCAGA